Molecule: ribosomal RNA, 511 nt
Filed under: Rhodotorula mucilaginosa
Lineage: Eukaryota; Fungi; Basidiomycota; Microbotryomycetes; Sporidiobolales; Sporidiobolaceae
Description: LSU rRNA
Rfam family: Eukaryotic large subunit ribosomal RNA
Source: RNAcentral
UGGCACCUUCGGUGUCCGAGUUGUAAUCUCUAGAAAUGUUUUCCGCGUUGGACCGCACACAAGUCUGUUGGAAUACAGCGGCAUAGUGGUGAGACCCCCGUAUAUGGUGCGGACGCCCAGCGCUUUGUGAUACAUUUUCGAAGAGUCGAGUUGUUUGGGAAUGCAGCUCAAAUUGGGUGGUAAAUUCCAUCUAAAGCUAAAUAUUGGCGAGAGACCGAUAGCGAACAAGUACCGUGAGGGAAAGAUGAAAAGCACUUUGGAAAGAGAGUUAACAGUACGUGAAAUUGUUGGAAGGGAAACGCUUGAAGUCAGACUUGCUUGCCGAGCAAUCGGUUUGCAGGCCAGCAUCAGUUUUCCGGGAUGGAUAAUGGUAGAGAGAAGGUAGCAGUUUCGGCUGUGUUAUAGCUCUCUGCUGGAUACAUCUUGGGGGACUGAGGAACGCAGUGUGCCUUUUGGCGGGGGUUUCGACCUCUUCACACUUAGGAUGCUGGUGGAAUGGCUUUAAACGACC